GUGGGGAAUAUUGGACAAUGGGCGCAAGCCUGAUCCAGCAACGCCGCGUGAGGGAUGACGGCCUUCGGGUUGUAAACCUCUUUCAGCAGGGACGAAGCGAAAGUGACGGUACCUGCAGAAGAAGGACCGGCCAACUACGUGCCAGCAGCCGCGGUAAUACGUAGGGUCCGAGCGUUGUCCGGAAUUAUUGGGCGUAAAGGGCUCGUAGGCGGUCUGUCGCGUCGGGAGUGAACACUCAGGGCUCAACCCUGAGCGUGCUUCCGAUACGGGCAGACUAGAGGUAUGCAGGGGAGAACGGAAUUCCUGGUGUAGCGGUGGAAUGCGCAGAUAUCAGGAGGAACACCGGUGGCGAAGGCGGUUCUCUGGGCAUUACCUGACGCUGAGGAGCGAAAGCAUGGGGAGCGAACAGGAUUAGAAACCCCUGUAGUCC
This 430-nucleotide ribosomal RNA is filed under the name uncultured bacterium. Its description in RNAcentral is "bacterial SSU rRNA". It matches the Rfam family "Bacterial small subunit ribosomal RNA", at positions 354 to 796 of the family's 1533-position model. The record is from RNAcentral.